UUGUAUGCCUAAAAUGUACCAAUAAACUUAAUGGAAAAAAAAAUCCUGGCAAGUGAUGCUUAAAAGGUUGUGUAAUGUCCUGAGGAAAGAUUUAGAAUAUACAGGUUAAAGAGAACUUUGGAAAGAUGGACAGAUUUGAGUUCAAUAUUUAACUCUUCUCCAAAUAUUUAAAAUUAUUCUCAAAAAAGGAAACAAAGAGUUGAAAACAUAACACAGUCUUGUCCAUGUGAGCUGUGCAUUCACGUUGCCCCAUAGGAGAGGAGUUAGAGAGCUGAUAUAUAAUGAGUUGUGCUCUUCAGGAACUUACGGGGGAAACCUGAGCUUGUGUCUGUGGAGAGCAAAAGAAAUCAAGGGAGAGGGGAAUACUGAACAUUUGAGAAAAUGAGGGGAUGACUGAUUAAACAGACAGAACCUGGAAAACAGCUGGAUGGGAUGGAUCAAUACACCACAGUCAGGAUUGGCCCUGGCAAAAGCGAGGGACACUCAUUUCUCAGAGGUAGGAUGAACAGCUCACUCCUUCCAGAAGAGAAAUGUCUGGUCUAGAGAAUCAUCCAGUCCAACUUAAAAUCUGUUUGGAAUGUGAAGUAAAGGGAGAUACCCAAAGUCAUUCAUGAACCUUGUAAUGAACUUUCAAAGUCAGUAACCUUCCUAAAUUAGAUUCAGAAAUAGUUGUAAGCUAUCUUAGGCAAGACAAUGCUAACAGUAUGCUUUAGUGAAGUCACUACCAGGUGUAAAGAACAGAGGAUUAAUUUUGAGAUGUUUCCAAUAGGCCAGUGAUGGAUGUGGAUUCAUUGGAGGCAGUGCAAAAGGCAGCUUGACAAAAAGGAUGUUUUUGUCUUUAGUGAACUGUACUCAGUUUUAUCAAAUAGUGCUUUAGUAUUCUGUGUCCUCUUUCUGCUACUUAAAAAAAAGA
Non-coding RNA from Heterocephalus glaber (naked mole-rat), 913 nucleotides. The record is from RefSeq and is a predicted model, not a curated record. NCBI's taxonomy places the organism in Eukaryota, Metazoa, Chordata, Mammalia, Rodentia, Bathyergidae.